This 274-nucleotide ribosomal RNA is filed under the name uncultured bacterium. RNAcentral describes it as "partial 16S ribosomal RNA". It matches the Rfam family "Bacterial small subunit ribosomal RNA", at positions 523 to 796 of the family's 1533-position model. The record is from RNAcentral.
AUACGAAAGGUGCAAGCGUUGUUCGGAUUUACUGGGCGUAAAGAGAGUGUAGGUGGUUUAUUAAGUCGGAUGUGAAAUCCCGGGGCUCAACCUCGGAACUGCAUUCGAUACUGAUAGGCGAGAGUUUGGGAGGGGUAAGCGGAAUUCCGUGUGUAGCAGUGAAAUGCGUAGAUAUACGGAGGAACACCUGAGGCGAAGGCGGCUUACUGGACCAAUACUGACACUGAGACUCGAAAGCGUGGGUAGCAAACAGGAUUAGAAACCCUAGUAGUCC